ACUGCAAGCUGCGCUAUCGUUCCCUGCUUUUGGCGGGGGAAGGAAAGUCCGGACAGCAAAGGGCAACGCACCACCUAACGGGUGGGUAUCCGCCUCAGGCGGAUAACAGAAAGUGCCACAGAAAAUAACUGCCGAUCAUGCACCGCAUGAGGUGAGGGUGAAAAUGUAGGGUAAGAGCCUACGGGGAUUGCUGGCAACAGCAGUCCGGGGUAAACCUUGCGUGCUGAAAUGCCAAAUAUAUCCCGCUUUUGGGCUGCCCGUCCAGGUUUCGUGCAAACGGACGGCGGGAGUGGGUAGGCAGAUAGAGGCAGCCAGCGAUGGCUGUCCCAGAUAAAUGAUAGCACUUCUGCGCAAGCAGAUGACAGAAUCCGGCUUACAGGCUUGCAGUAUUU
Molecule: RNase P RNA, 392 nt
Filed under: Chitinophagaceae bacterium
Lineage: Bacteria; Pseudomonadati; Bacteroidota; Chitinophagia; Chitinophagales; Chitinophagaceae
Description: RNase P RNA component class A
Rfam family: Bacterial RNase P class A
About the family: Ribonuclease P (RNase P) is a ubiquitous endoribonuclease, found in archaea, bacteria and eukarya as well as chloroplasts and mitochondria. Its best characterised activity is the generation of mature 5'-ends of tRNAs by cleaving the 5'-leader elements of precursor-tRNAs.
Source: RNAcentral